UUGGGAAUCAAACUCGGACUUGGCA
RNAcentral lists this non-coding RNA (25 nucleotides) under Cricetulus griseus (Chinese hamster). Lineage: Eukaryota; Metazoa; Chordata; Mammalia; Rodentia; Cricetidae. The record is from RNAcentral.